This 40-nucleotide non-coding RNA is filed under the name Pelobates cultripes (western spadefoot toad). Lineage: Eukaryota; Metazoa; Chordata; Amphibia; Anura; Pelobatidae. The record is from RNAcentral.
CCCCUGACGAGCCGCUAAACAAGGCGAAACGCGCGUCGGG